AGUGAACGCUGGCGGCAGGCCUAACACAUGCAAGUCGAACGGCAGCACAGGAGAGCUUGCUCUCUGGGUGGCGAGUGGCGGACGGGUGAGGAAUACAUCGGAAUCUACUCUGUCGUGGGGGAUAACGUAGGGAAACUUACGCUAAUACCGCAUACGACCUACGGGUGAAAGCAGGGGAUCUUCGGACCUUGCGCGAUUGAAUGAGCCGAUGUCGGAUUAGCUAGUUGGCGGGGUAAAGGCCCACCAAGGCGACGAUCCGUAGCUGGUCUGGGAGCAUGAUCAGCCACACUGGAACUGAGACACGGUCCAGACUCCUACGAGAGGCAGCAGUGGGGAAUAUUGGACAGUGGGCGCAAGCCUGAUCCAGCCAUACCGCGUGGGUGAAGAAGGCCUUCGGGUUGUAAAGCCCUUUUGUUGGGAAAGAAAUCCAGCUGGCUAAUACCCGGUUGGGAUGACGGUACCCAAAGAAUAAGCACCGGCUAACUUCGUGCCAGCCGCCGCAGUAA
RNAcentral lists this ribosomal RNA (506 nucleotides) under uncultured bacterium. Its description in RNAcentral is "partial 16S ribosomal RNA". It matches the Rfam family "Bacterial small subunit ribosomal RNA", at positions 29 to 523 of the family's 1533-position model. The record is from RNAcentral.